UUUUAUGUUUUUUCCCAACGAAUUGAAUAGUUGGUUGUGAAGGAUUCAAAAUGAUAAUUAAAUGAAUUAUUUGUCUCUUAAUAGUUAACAAUAAAUUGAACAGAUUUCUUAAUAUGUUUUGAAUUGUCUCUUAAUAGGGCACCUCUUCACAGAUGUAGAGCUGUCAACAUCCGGAUGAUAUACCAGAGUCAUAUAAUAUAUCAUCAGAUAAAUUUAAAUAGAAAUGUAUAAAGUAAGAUUCAAACCAUGAACCUCAGAAACCUUAAUAGUAACUGAGACCAAUGAGCCAACCUUACUUUGUCAUAAUUUUGAAUUUGAU
Molecule: long non-coding RNA, 319 nt
Filed under: Zostera marina
Lineage: Eukaryota; Viridiplantae; Streptophyta; Magnoliopsida; Alismatales; Zosteraceae
Description: long non-coding RNA (ZMAR_LNC000195)
Source: RNAcentral